GCCUGGAUAGGUCAGUUGGUUGGAGCGUGGUGCUGAUAAUGCCAAGGUUGCAGGUUCGAUCCCCAUAAGGGACA
This is a non-coding RNA of Podarcis lilfordi (Lilford's wall lizard), 74 nucleotides long. The record is from the annotation of a GenBank genome assembly. Lineage: Eukaryota; Metazoa; Chordata; Lepidosauria; Squamata; Lacertidae.